GGCUCAGGAUGAACGCUGGCGGCGUGCCUAAUACAUGCAAGUCGAGCGAAUGGAUUAAGAGCUUGCUCUUAUGAAGUUAGCGGCGGACGGGUGAGUAACACGUGGGUAACCUGCCCAUAAGACUGGGAUAACUCCGGGAAACCGGGGCUAAUACCGGAUAACAUUUUGAACCGCAUGGUUCGAAAUUGAAAGGCGGCUUCGGCUGUCACUUAUGGAUGGACCCGCGUCGCAUUAGCUAGUUGGUGAGGUAACGGCUCACCAAGGCAACGAUGCGUAGCCGACCUGAGAGGGUGAUCGGCCACACUGGGACUGAGACACGGCCCAGACUCCUACGGGAGGCAGCAGUAGGGAAUCUUCCGCAAUGGACGAAAGUCUGACGGAGCAACGCCGCGUGAGUGAUGAAGGCUUUCGGGUCGUAAAACUCUGUUGUUAGGGAAGAACAAGUGCUAGUUGAAUAAGCUGGCACCUUGACGGUACCUAACCAGAAAGCCACGGCUAACUACGUGCCAGCAGCCGCGGUAAUACGUAGGUGGCAAGCGUUAUCCGGAAUUAUUGGGCGUAAAGCGCGCGCAGGUGGUUUCUUAAGUCUGAUGUGAAAGCCCACGGCUCAACCGUGGAGGGUCAUUGGAAACUGGGAGACUUGAGUGCAGAAGAGGAAAGUGGAAUUCCAUGUGUAGCGGUGAAAUGCGUAGAGAUAUGGAGGAACACCAGUGGCGAAGGCGACUUUCUGGUCUGUAACUGAC
This 743-nucleotide ribosomal RNA is filed under the name Bacillus sp. SMCC B0663. Its description in RNAcentral is "bacterial SSU rRNA". It matches the Rfam family "Bacterial small subunit ribosomal RNA", at positions 21 to 744 of the family's 1533-position model. Lineage: Bacteria; Bacillati; Bacillota; Bacilli; Caryophanales; Bacillaceae. The record is from RNAcentral.